Molecule: ribosomal RNA, 492 nt
Filed under: uncultured bacterium
Lineage: Bacteria
Description: partial 16S ribosomal RNA
Rfam family: Bacterial small subunit ribosomal RNA
Source: RNAcentral
AUUGAACGCUGGCGGCAUGCUUUACACAUGCAAGUCGAACGGUAACAGGCCUUCGGGUGCUGACGAGUGGCGAACGGGUGAGUAAUGCAUCGGAACGUACCCAGAGGUGGGGGAUAACGCAGCGAAAGCUGUGCUAAUACCGCAUGUGAUCUGAGGAUGAAAGCGGGGGACCGAGUAGCAAUGUUUGGCCUCGCGCCUUUGGAGCGGCCGAUGUCGGAUUAGCUAGUUGGUGGGGUAAAGGCCUACCAAGGCGACGAUCCGUAGCUGGUCUGAGAGGACGACCAGCCACACUGGGACUGAGACACGGCCCAGACUCCUACGGGAGGCAGCAGUGGGGAAUUUUGGACAAUGGGCGCAAGCCUGAUCCAGCAAUGCCGCGUGCGGGAAGAAGGCCUUCGGGUUGUAAACCGCUUUUGGCAGGAACGAAACGGUGUCCGCUAAUACCGGGCGCUAAUGACGGUACCUGCAGAAUAAGCACCGGCUAACUACGUG